AGCUCUGCUAGCGUAUAUUAAAGUUGUUGCAGUUAAAAAGCUCGUAGUUGAAUUUCUGGUAGGAGUGAUUGGUCCAUCACAACGUGUUGGAACCUGAUUGUCUCCAGCCAUCCUUGGAAAGAGUCUUCAUGGCAUUAAGUUGCCGAGUUGACAGUUUCCAUCAUUUACUGUGAAAAAAUUAGAGUGUUCAAAGCAGGCUUAUGCCAUUGAAUAUAUUAGCAUGGAAUAAUAAGAUAGGACUUUGGUACUAUUUUGUUGGUUUGCGCACCAGAGUAAUGAUAAAUAGGGACAGUUGGGGGUAUUCGUAUUCAAUUGUCAGAGGUGAAAUUCUUGGAUUUAUGGAAGACGAACUACUGCGAAAGCAUUUACCAAGGAUGUUUUCAUUAAUCAAGAACGAAAG
This 400-nucleotide ribosomal RNA is filed under the name phytoplankton environmental sample. Its description in RNAcentral is "partial small subunit ribosomal RNA". It matches the Rfam family "Eukaryotic small subunit ribosomal RNA", at positions 587 to 989 of the family's 1831-position model. The record is from RNAcentral.